This 580-nucleotide ribosomal RNA is filed under the name uncultured Actinomycetes bacterium. Its description in RNAcentral is "bacterial SSU rRNA". It matches the Rfam family "Bacterial small subunit ribosomal RNA", at positions 95 to 688 of the family's 1533-position model. The record is from RNAcentral. Lineage: Bacteria; Bacillati; Actinomycetota; Actinomycetes.
GCGGCGAACGGGUGAGUAACACGUGGGCAACCUGCCCCGGACACUGGGAUAACUCAGGGAAACCUGGGCUAAUACCGGAUACCUCGGCGUGAUCGCAUGGUCGUGCCGGGAAAGCCCUGACGGUCCGGGAUGGGCCCGCGGCCUAUCAGCUUGUUGGUGGGGUAACGGCCUACCGAGGCGGCGACGGGUAGCUGGUCUGAGAGGACGGCCAGCCACACUGGGACUGAGACACGGCCCAGACUCCUACGGGAGGCAGCAGUAGGGAAUCUUGCGCCAAUGCGCGAAAGCGUGACGCAGCGACGCCGCAUGCGGGAUGAAGGCCCUCGGGUCGUAAACCGCUUUCGGCAGGGACGAAGCGAAAGUGACGGUACCUGCAGAAGAAGUCCCGGCUAACUACGUGCCAGCAGCCGCGGUAACACGUAGGGGACGAGCGUUGUCCGGAUUCAUUGGGCGUAAAGCGCGCGUAGGCGGCUCGGAGAGUCGGUCGUGAAAUCCUGGGGCUCAACCCCGGAACUGCGUCCGAUACUUCCGAGCUGGAGGCAGUAGGGGAGAUCGGAAUUCCUGGUGUAGCGGUGAAAUG